ACUUAAACUCCACAACUUCACGAUCACGAAUCACGAUUACAUAA
RNAcentral lists this small RNA (44 nucleotides) under Arabidopsis thaliana (thale cress). RNAcentral's name for it is "ATSL148200". The record is from RNAcentral. Lineage: Eukaryota; Viridiplantae; Streptophyta; Magnoliopsida; Brassicales; Brassicaceae.